This 496-nucleotide ribosomal RNA is filed under the name uncultured bacterium. Its description in RNAcentral is "partial 16S ribosomal RNA". It matches the Rfam family "Bacterial small subunit ribosomal RNA", at positions 28 to 506 of the family's 1533-position model. The record is from RNAcentral.
GACGAACGCUGGCGGCGUGCCUAAUACAUGCAAGUUGAGCGAUGAAGAUUGGUGCUUGCACCAAUUUGAAGAGCAGCGAACGGGUGAGUAACGCGUGGGGAAUCUGCCUUUGAGCGGGGGACAACAUUUGGAAACGAAUGCUAAUACCGCAUAACAACUUUAAACAUAAGUUUUAAGUUUGAAAGAUGCCAUUGCAUCACUCAAAGAUGAUCCCGCGUUGUAUUAGCUAGUUGGUGAGGUAAAGGCUCACCAAGGCGAUGAUACAUAGCCGACCUGAGAGGGUGAUCGGCCACACUGGGACUGAGACACGGCCCAAACUCCUACGGGAGGCAGCAGUAGGGAAUCUUCGGCAAUGGACGAAAGUCUGACCGAGCAACGCCGCGUGAGUGAAGAAGGUUUUCGGAUCGUAAAACUCUGUUGGUAGAGAAGAACGUUAGUGAGAGUGGAAAGCGCAUCAAGUGACGAUAACUACCCAGAAAGGGGCGGCUAACUACGU